GGGUUGUGAGGUUAAGCGACUAAGCGUACACGGUGGAUGCCCUGGCAGUCAGAGGCGAUGAAGGACGUGCUAAUCUGCGAAAAGCGCCGGCGAGGUGAUAUGAACCUUUGACCCGGCGAUGUCCGAAUGGGGAAACCCAGUGUGAUCCGUCACACUAUCGUUAACUGAAUACAUAGGUUAACGAGGCGAACCGGGGGAACUGAAACAUCUAAGUACCCCGAGGAAAAGAAAUCAACCGAGAUUCCCCCAGUAGCGGCGAGCGAACGGGGAGCAGCCCAGAGUCUGAAUCAGCUUGUGUGUUAGUGGAAGCGUCUGGAAAGUCGCACGGUACAGGGUGACAGUCCCGUACACGAAAGCACACUUGCUGUGAACUCGAAGAGUAGGGCGGGACACGUGGUAUCCUGUCUGAAUAUGGGGGGACCAUCCUCCAAGGCUAAAUACUCCUGACUGACCGAUAGUGAACCAGUACCGUGA
RNAcentral lists this ribosomal RNA (474 nucleotides) under Lelliottia nimipressuralis. Its description in RNAcentral is "partial 23S ribosomal RNA". It matches the Rfam family "Bacterial large subunit ribosomal RNA", at positions 1 to 506 of the family's 2925-position model. Lineage: Bacteria; Pseudomonadati; Pseudomonadota; Gammaproteobacteria; Enterobacterales; Enterobacteriaceae. The record is from RNAcentral.